GGAGGGAUGGCCGAGUGGACGAAGGCGGCAGUCUUGAAAACUGCUGUGGCCGCAAGGUCACCGGGGGUUCGAAUCCCUCUCCCUCCGCCA
RNAcentral lists this transfer RNA (90 nucleotides) under Anaerolineales bacterium. Its description in RNAcentral is "tRNA-Ser". It matches the Rfam family "tRNA". Rfam says of the family: Transfer RNA (tRNA) molecules are approximately 80 nucleotides in length. Their secondary structure includes four short double-helical elements and three loops (D, anti-codon, and T loops). Further hydrogen bonds mediate the characteristic L-shaped molecular structure. tRNAs have two regions of fundamental functional importance: the anti-codon, which is responsible for specific mRNA codon recognition, and the 3' end, to which the tRNAs corresponding amino acid is attached (by aminoacyl-tRNA synthetases). tRNAs cope with the degeneracy of the genetic code in two manners: having more than one tRNA (with a specific anti-codon) for a particular amino acid; and 'wobble' base-pairing, i.e. permitting non-standard base-pairing at the 3rd anti-codon position. The record is from RNAcentral. Lineage: Bacteria; Bacillati; Chloroflexota; Anaerolineae; Anaerolineales.